Molecule: long non-coding RNA, 624 nt
Filed under: Mytilus galloprovincialis (Mediterranean mussel)
Lineage: Eukaryota; Metazoa; Mollusca; Bivalvia; Mytilida; Mytilidae
Source: RNAcentral
GUGAGUAUAAGGGUAAUAUAGCAAUGGUGUAUGUUUGUGGUGAGUAUAAGGGUAAUAUAGCAAUGGUGUAUGUUUGUGGUGAGUAUAAGGGUAUUAUAGCAAUGGUGUAUGUUUGUUGUGAGUAUAAGGGUAAUAUAGCAAUGGUGUAUGUUUGUGGUGAGUAUAAGGGUAAUAGCAAUGGUGUAUGUUUGUGGGUGAGUAUAGGGUAUAUAGCAAUGGUGUAUGUUUGUGGUGAGUGUAUAAGGGUAAUAUAGCAAUGGUGUAUGUUUGUGGUGAGUAUAAGGUAUAGGCAAUGGUGUAUGUUUGUUGUGAGUAUAAGGGUUAUAUAGCAAUGGUGUAUGUUUGUGGUGAGUAUAAGGGUGAUAUAGCAAUGGUGUUUGUUUGUGGUGAGUAUAAGGGUAAUAUAGCAAUGGCGUAUGUUUGUGGUGAGUAUAAGGGUAAUAUAACAAUGGUGUAUGUUUGUGGUGAGUAUAAGGGUAAUAUAGCAAUGGUGUAUGUUUGUGAUGUGUAUAAGGGUAAUAUAGCAAUGGUGUAUGUGUGUGUUGUGAGUAUAAGGGGAGAUAUAGCAAUGGUGUAUGUUUGUGAUGAGUAUAAGGGUAAUAUAGCAAUGGUGUAUGUUUGUGU